This 246-nucleotide long non-coding RNA is filed under the name Gossypium barbadense (sea-island cotton). RNAcentral's name for it is "long non-coding RNA (GBAR_LNC013461)". Lineage: Eukaryota; Viridiplantae; Streptophyta; Magnoliopsida; Malvales; Malvaceae. The record is from RNAcentral.
AAAAACUUUGUUCCUUUGAUGGCCCAUGACAGCUCUUAUCGCGAAGUCACUUGUGUCACACAUCAAUUCAAAUGACAAAUCCUAGUCUGGUGUAACGAUUAUGGAUGAUGAAACUAACCGACUUUUCAAAUCUUUGAAAGCUCUUAAGCACUUAUCAUAAUUUUUUUUUCAUGUCCUUCUCCAAUAAUUUGCAUAAGGGUUUAACAAUUUUGGGGAAGUCCUUGAUAAAUCUUUGAUAGAAAUCGG